AAGCUAUUGUGUGGACAAUCUUGCACCAGUCACUUAAACCUCACCUAGGCAUCACUGAGCAAUUCGUCAAUAUCUUGUUCAAAAUUAGUGAUCAACUUCCUUCGUCU
Molecule: small nucleolar RNA, 107 nt
Organism: Benincasa hispida (wax gourd)
Lineage: Eukaryota; Viridiplantae; Streptophyta; Magnoliopsida; Cucurbitales; Cucurbitaceae
Source: RefSeq, a predicted model, not a curated record